UACAGAGGGUGCGAGCGUUAAUCGGAAUUACUGGGCGUAAAGCGCACGUAGGUGGCGACGUAAGUCGGGUGUGAAAGCCCCGGGCUCAACCUGGGAAUUGCAUUCGAGACUGCAUUGCUGGAGUACGGAAGAGGAAGGCGGAAUUCCCGGUGUAGCGGUGAAAUGCGUAGAUAUCGGGAGGAACAUCAGUGGCGAAGGCGGCCUUCUGGUCCAGUACUGACACUCAAGUGCGAAAGCGUGGGGAGCAAAC
This 250-nucleotide ribosomal RNA is filed under the name uncultured bacterium. RNAcentral describes it as "partial 16S ribosomal RNA". It matches the Rfam family "Bacterial small subunit ribosomal RNA", at positions 524 to 773 of the family's 1533-position model. The record is from RNAcentral.